RNAcentral lists this ribosomal RNA (1830 nucleotides) under Listeria monocytogenes. RNAcentral's name for it is "partial 23S ribosomal RNA". It matches the Rfam family "Bacterial large subunit ribosomal RNA", at positions 1100 to 2925 of the family's 2925-position model. Lineage: Bacteria; Bacillati; Bacillota; Bacilli; Caryophanales; Listeriaceae. The record is from RNAcentral.
GUUGGCUUAGAAGCAGCCACCAUUGAAAGAGUGCGUAAUAGCUCACUGGUCGAGUGACCCCGCGCCGAAAAUGUACCGGGGCUAAACAUAUUACCGAAACUGUGGAUGAACCUCUUUAGAGGUUCGUGGUAGGAGAGCGUUCUAAGGGCGGUGAAGUCAGACCGGAAGGACUGGUGGAGCGCUUAGAAGUGAGAAUGCCGGUAUGAGUAGCGAAAGAAGGGUGAGAAUCCCUUCCACCGAAUAUCUAAGGUUUCCUGAGGAAGGCUCGUCCGCUCAGGGUUAGUCGGGACCUAAGCCGAGGCCGAUAGGCGUAGGCGAUGGACAACAGGUAGAGAUUCCUGUACCAGUGCUAAUUGUUUAACCGAUGGGGUGACACAGAAGGAUAGGGAAUCGCACGAAUGGAAAUGUGCGUCCAAGCAGUGAGUGUGAGAAGUAGGCAAAUCCGCUUCUCGCGAAGCAUGAGCUGUGAUGGGGAAGGAAAUUAAGUACGGAAGUUCCUGAUUUCACGCUGUCAAGAAAAGCCUCUAGGAAGAGUAGUACUGCCCGUACCGCAAACCGACACAGGUAGAUGAGGAGAGAAUCCUAAGGUGAGCGAGAGAACUCUCGUUAAGGAACUCGGCAAAAUGACCCCGUAACUUCGGGAGAAGGGGUGCUCUAUUAGGGUGCAAGCCCGAGAGAGCCGCAGUGAAUAGGCCCAGGCGACUGUUUAGCAAAAACACAGGUCUCUGCAAAACCGUAAGGUGACGUAUAGGGGCUGACGCCUGCCCGGUGCUGGAAGGUUAAGAGGAGUGCUUAGCUUCGGCGAAGGUACGAAUUGAAGCCCCAGUAAACGGCGGCCGUAACUAUAACGGUCCUAAGGUAGCGAAAUUCCUUGUCGGGUAAGUUCCGACCCGCACGAAAGGCGCAACGAUCUGGGCACUGUCUCAACGAGAGACUCGGUGAAAUUAUAGUACCUGUGAAGAUGCAGGUUACCCGCGACAGGACGGAAAGACCCCGUGGAGCUUUACUGCAACCUGAUAUGGAAUGUUUGUACCGCUUGUACAGGAUAGGUAGGAGCCGAAGAGACGUGUGCGCUAGCAUACGAGGAGGCAAUGGUGGGAUACUACCCUGGCUGUAUGACCAUUCUAACCCGCCACGCUUAGCGCGUGGGGAGACAGUGUCAGGUGGGCAGUUUGACUGGGGCGGUCGCCUCCUAAAGAGUAACGGAGGCGCCCAAAGGUUCCCUCAGAAUGGAUGGAAAUCAUUCGCAGAGUGUAAAGGCACAAGGGAGCUUGACUGCGAGACUGACAAGUCGAGCAGGGACGAAAGUCGGGCUUAGUGAUCCGGUGGUUCCGCAUGGAAGGGCCAUCGCUCAACGGAUAAAAGCUACCCCGGGGAUAACAGGCUUAUCUCCCCCAAGAGUCCACAUCGACGGGGAGGUUUGGCACCUCGAUGUCGGCUCGUCGCAUCCUGGGGCUGUAGUCGGUCCCAAGGGUUGGGCUGUUCGCCCAUUAAAGCGGCACGCGAGCUGGGUUCAGAACGUCGUGAGACAGUUCGGUCCCUAUCCGUCGCGGGCGCAGGAAAUUUGAGAGGAGCUGUCCUUAGUACGAGAGGACCGGGAUGGACACACCGCUGGUGUACCAGUUGUUCCGCCAGGAGCAUCGCUGGGUAGCUAUGUGUGGCAGGGAUAAACGCUGAAAGCAUCUAAGCGUGAAGCCCCCCUCAAGAUGAGAUUUCCCAUUUCUUCGGAAAGUAAGAUCCCUGAAAGAUGAUCAGGUAGAUAGGUUUGGAGUGGAAGUGUAGCGAUACAUGGAGCGGACAAAUACUAAUCGAUCGAGGACUUAACCAAAA